RNAcentral lists this ribosomal RNA (774 nucleotides) under uncultured Neocallimastigales. RNAcentral's name for it is "partial large subunit ribosomal RNA". It matches the Rfam family "Eukaryotic large subunit ribosomal RNA", at positions 24 to 631 of the family's 3401-position model. The record is from RNAcentral. Lineage: Eukaryota; Fungi; Neocallimastigomycota; Neocallimastigomycetes; Neocallimastigales.
UAUGUGAUCGUCUCUCGCAUAUCAAUAAGCGGAGGAAAAGAAACUAACAAGGAUUCCCCUAGUAACGGCGAGUGAAGCGGGAAGAGCUCAAAUUUGAAAUCUUAAAGGGUUUCCCUUUACGAAUUGUAGUUUAAAGAAGUGUUUUCUGUUGAGGUUUUGGUAAAAGUUCUUUGGAAUAGGACAUCAUAGAGGGUGAGAAUCCCGUAUUUGACCUUUACUUUCAACUUUGUGAUACACUUUCAAAGAGUCGGAUUGUUUGGGAAUGCAGUCCAAAAUGGGUGGUAAAUUUCAUCUAAAGCUAAAUAUUGGCGAGAGACCGAUAGCGAACAAGUACCGUGAGGGAAAGAUGAAAAGAACUUUGAAAAGAGAGUUAAACAGUACGUGAAAUUGUCAAAAGGGAAGCGUUUGACACCAGUGUUGUUUUUCUGAAAAUCAAUUAAAGAACUGUUUAUGCUAAGUUGUUUAGACUUUAUCAGCUAACUGUUUAGUUUUGAGCUUUUCUUUAAUGCACUUUUCAGUUAACAAGUCAACAUCAAUUUCUUUUGCUGUAAGAAAGCUUGAGGAAGGUGGCUUGAGAUUCGUCUUAAGUGUUUAUAGCCUCUUGCCUAUGCAGUCGGAGAGAUUGAGGUCUGCAGCGUAGAUCCUUCGGGGCUAAAUGCAUUUGUGCUAAGUUAUAGCAUUUUAUAGACAACUUGUUGACUAUGAUUUGUCUUGUAGCUUACUCGCUUAUGUUAUUUUACCUACGCUUAGGAUGUUGAUCUACAGAGCGAGAGU